AGUGAACGCUGGCGGUAGGCCUAACACAUGCAAGUCGAACGGCAGCACAGUAAGAGCUUGCUCUUACGGGUGGCGAGUGGCGGACGGGUGAGGAAUACAUCGGAAUCUACUUUUUCGUGGGGGAUAACGUAGGGAAACUUACGCUAAUACCGCAUACGACCUACGGGUGAAAGCAGGGGAUCUUCGGACCUUGCGCGAUUCAAUGAGCCGAUGUCGGAUUAGCUAGUUGGCGGGGUAAAGGCCCACCAAGGCGACGAUCCGUAGCUGGUCUGAGAGGAUGAUCAGCCACACUGGAACUGAGACACGGUCCAGACUCCUACGGGAGGCAGCAGUGGGGAAUAUUGGACAAUGGGCGCAAGCCUGAUCCAGCCAUACCGCGUGAGUGAAGAAGGCCUUCGGGUUGUAAAGCCCUUUUGUUGGGAAAGAAAAGCAGCAGGUUAAUACCCCGCUGUUCUGACGGUACCCAAAGAAUAAGCAACGGCUAACUUCGUG
RNAcentral lists this ribosomal RNA (492 nucleotides) under uncultured bacterium. RNAcentral describes it as "partial 16S ribosomal RNA". It matches the Rfam family "Bacterial small subunit ribosomal RNA", at positions 29 to 507 of the family's 1533-position model. The record is from RNAcentral.